GGGAUGUUAGCUCAACCGGCAGAGCUGGCGGCUCAUAACCGCUUGGUUGAGGGUUCAAGUCCCCCACGUCCCACCA
RNAcentral lists this transfer RNA (76 nucleotides) under Herelleviridae sp. Its description in RNAcentral is "tRNA-Met". It matches the Rfam family "tRNA". Rfam says of the family: Transfer RNA (tRNA) molecules are approximately 80 nucleotides in length. The record is from RNAcentral. Lineage: Duplodnaviria; Heunggongvirae; Uroviricota; Caudoviricetes; Herelleviridae.